This is a long non-coding RNA of Dendronephthya gigantea, 328 nucleotides long. RefSeq lists it as uncharacterized. Lineage: Eukaryota; Metazoa; Cnidaria; Anthozoa; Malacalcyonacea; Nephtheidae. The record is from RefSeq and is a predicted model, not a curated record. The transcript has 5 exons.
AACUCAAAGAUAAAGAUCUUAAAGCAGUCAAUGUUGGACAGUUGAAGAAAUUGUUACAAACAAGUGUAGAAAAUCUAGACAAAGCUGGCAGAGCCAUCCAAAAUCUACUUCAAUAUGAUCAGCGAAAAAGGUUGCACAGCAGGAACAGGCAAGGAACACCACAACCAUACCGAGGCUACCCCCAGCAGGGCUAUGGAGGAUACCCCCAACAACAACCAUCCCCAUAUCAAGCAACCGGUCAAUGUUCCGGUCAAUGUAGCAACCUUUGUGCUCCGGCAUGCAGAGACCCAUGCUGUCGUUUCCCUCCAAGUUUGGGCGGAUAUAAUUC